GACCGUGAAGAGAAGGGGCCUGCUCUGGCUGUGCUCAGCAGCACCAGGAGAACCAGGCUGGAGGUUAGAGCAUACUGGGCUGGCAUCAUUCAGGAGGCUGCAGGGAGAAAGGGCAGCUUCAUCUCCCCAUGUGCUGCCCUGACGAGCUGAAAAAGAGACUUUGCUACAGAGGAGAAAUAUCCCAGCUGAGUGGGAACCCACUACCCCCAGAUUCACAGUGAGGACUGAGUCUCUCUAUCCCGCUACAGACCUCACCACUGAGGUGUAACUUGGCCAAGUCACAGGUGAAAGGUCUCGACUCCCUCCUCAUCCCACAGUUCUCUCCAUGGCAAGACUUCCCUCUUCCCUUCCCAUCACUCGCCCUACUUCUCUCCUCCCCAACACUUACAUC
Molecule: long non-coding RNA, 391 nt
Organism: Gorilla gorilla gorilla (western lowland gorilla)
Lineage: Eukaryota; Metazoa; Chordata; Mammalia; Primates; Hominidae
Exons: 3
Source: RefSeq, a predicted model, not a curated record